UGGCACAUAACUGUCCUUAAGAUAGUAGCUCGCCGUCAUGGGGUGUCGGGGGUCGGAGGUUCAAAUCCUCUCGUGCCGACCA
This 82-nucleotide transfer RNA is filed under the name Citrobacter freundii. RNAcentral describes it as "tRNA-Leu". The record is from RNAcentral. Lineage: Bacteria; Pseudomonadati; Pseudomonadota; Gammaproteobacteria; Enterobacterales; Enterobacteriaceae. RNAcentral also lists the same sequence under 1 other name.